UGGCCGCGGUAUUUUGACCGUGCUAAGGUAGCAUAAUCAUUAGUUUUUUAAUUGAAAGCUGGAAUGAAGGGCUGAAUGAAAAAAAAACUGUCUCUAAUUAAUUAUUUUAGAAUUUUAUUUUUAAGUUAAAAAGCUUAAAUUUUAUUAAAAGACGAGAAGACCCUAUAGAGUUUAAUAAUUUUAUACUAUAAAAAAUUUGGAAUUAAUAUUUUUAUUUUUAUAUAAUUAUUUGAUUGGGGUGAUUAAAAAAUUUAAUAAACUUUUUUAUUUAUUUAUAUUAAUUAAUAAAUAAUUGAUCCAAAAAUUUUGAUUAUAAGAUAAAAUUACCUUAGGGAUAACAGCGUAAUUUUAUUUGAGAGUUCUA
This 364-nucleotide ribosomal RNA is filed under the name Galerucella birmanica (water lily leaf beetle). RNAcentral describes it as "partial 16S ribosomal RNA". The record is from RNAcentral. Lineage: Eukaryota; Metazoa; Arthropoda; Insecta; Coleoptera; Chrysomelidae.